This 405-nucleotide ribosomal RNA is filed under the name uncultured bacterium. RNAcentral describes it as "partial 16S ribosomal RNA". It matches the Rfam family "Bacterial small subunit ribosomal RNA", at positions 33 to 526 of the family's 1533-position model. The record is from RNAcentral.
GACGACGCUGGCGGCGUGCCUAACACAUGCAAGUCGAACGAGUGGCGGACGGGUGAGUAAUGUAUGGGAAACUGCCUGAUGGAGGGGGAUAACUACUGGAAACGGUGGCUAAUACCGCAUACCAUCGGAUGUGCCCAUAUGGGAUUAGCUAGUAGGUGGGGUAAAGGCUCACCUAGGCGACGAUCCCUAGCUGGUCUGAGAGGAUGAUCAGCCACACUGGGACUGAGACACGGCCCAGACUCCUACGGGAGGCAGCAGUGGGGAAUAUUGCACAAUGGGCGCAAGCCUGAUGCAGCCAUGCCGCGUGUAUGAAGAAGGCCUUAGGGUUGUAAAGUACUUUCAGCGGGGAGGCGUUACCCGCAGAAGAAGCACCGGCUAACUCCGUGCCAGCAGCCGCGGUAAUUC